This 468-nucleotide ribosomal RNA is filed under the name uncultured bacterium. Its description in RNAcentral is "partial 16S ribosomal RNA". It matches the Rfam family "Bacterial small subunit ribosomal RNA", at positions 28 to 507 of the family's 1533-position model. The record is from RNAcentral.
GACGAACGCUGGCGGCGUGCUUAACACAUGCAAGUCGAACGGAAACGCCCUGCUUUUUUGGGGUUCUCGAGUGGCGAACGGGUGAGUAACACGUGAGUAACCUGCCCUUGACUUUGGGAUAACUUCAGGAAACUGGAGCUAAUACCGUAUAGGAUCUCCUGCUGCAUGGUGGGGGUUGGAUAUUUUCGGCGGUUGGGGAUGGACUCGCGGCUUAUCAGCUUGUUGGUGGGGUAGUGGCUUACCAAGGCUUUGACGGGUAGCCGGCCUGAGAGGGUGACCGGCCACAUUGGGACUGAGAUACGGCCCAGACUCCUACGGGAGGCAGCAGUGGGGAAUAUUGUACAAUGGGAGGAAGCCGGAUGCAGCAACGCCGCGUGCGGGAUGACGGCCUUCGGGUUGUAAAACGCUUUAGCCUGUGACGAAGCGUGAGUGACGGUAAUGGGUAAAGAAGCACCGGCUAACUACGUG